Molecule: ribosomal RNA, 472 nt
Filed under: uncultured bacterium
Lineage: Bacteria
Description: partial 16S ribosomal RNA
Rfam family: Bacterial small subunit ribosomal RNA
Source: RNAcentral
GACGAACGCUGGCGGCGUGCUUAACACAUGCAAGUCGAACGCUGAAGCUUGGUGCUUGCACUGGGUGGAUGAGUGGCGAACGGGUGAGUAAUACGUGAGUAACCUGCCCUUGACUCUGGGAUAAGCCUGGGAAACUGGGUCUAAUACUGGAUACGACAUGCCACUGCAUGGUGGUGUGUGGAAAGGGUUUUACUGGUUUUGGAUGGGCUCACGGCCUAUCAGCUUGUUGGUGGGGUAAUGGCCUACCAAGGCGACGACGGGUAGCCGGCCUGAGAGGGUGACCGGCCACACUGGGACUGAGACACGGACCAGACUCCUACGGGAGGCAGCAGUGGGGAAUAUUGCACAAUGGGCGGAAGCCUGAUGCAGCGACGCCGCGUGAGGGAUGACGGCCUUCGGGUUGUAAACCUCUUUCAGCACGGAAGAAGCGAGAGUGACGGUACGUGCAGAAGAAGCGCCGGCUAACUACGUG